This 190-nucleotide small nuclear RNA is filed under the name Castor canadensis (American beaver). RNAcentral describes it as "U2 spliceosomal RNA (ENSCCNG00000004345.1)". It matches the Rfam family "U2 spliceosomal RNA". Rfam says of the family: U2 is a small nuclear RNA (snRNA) component of the spliceosome (involved in pre-mRNA splicing). The record is from Rfam by way of RNAcentral. Lineage: Eukaryota; Metazoa; Chordata; Mammalia; Rodentia; Castoridae.
AUCGCUUCUCGCCUUUUGGCUAAGAUCAAGUGCAGUAUCUGUUCUUAUCAGUUUAAUAUUUGAUACGUCCUCUAUCUGAGGACAAUAUGUUAAAAGGAUUUUUGGAAACAGGAGAUGGAAUAGAAGCUUGCUCCGUCACUCCACGCAUUGACCUGGUAUUGCAAUACCUCCAGGAACGGGUGCACCAAAA